Long non-coding RNA from Pseudomyrmex gracilis, 171 nucleotides. RefSeq lists it as uncharacterized. Lineage: Eukaryota; Metazoa; Arthropoda; Insecta; Hymenoptera; Formicidae. The transcript has 3 exons. The record is from RefSeq and is a predicted model, not a curated record.
GACGGCGAUGCGCGACUGAUGGACCGAGUUCUUCCUACACCUACGAACCUUCCUUAUUGCAUGAUGUUUGGUGCGUGCGUCCGGAGAACGAAGACGAAAGCUGAAAAACAUCCGGUGCGGUAUGGGAAAGCAGAAUUCGCCUCUCAACUCGCAAAGAAACGCACAUUUUAU